AUACUAAAUGAUGAUUGCAAUUACCGCCCCAGUCUGAACACUGUGACUGAUUGGUGAUUCUGAUUCC
This is a small nucleolar RNA of Diabrotica virgifera virgifera (western corn rootworm), 67 nucleotides long. Lineage: Eukaryota; Metazoa; Arthropoda; Insecta; Coleoptera; Chrysomelidae. The record is from RefSeq and is a predicted model, not a curated record.